Molecule: long non-coding RNA, 901 nt
Organism: Uranotaenia lowii
Lineage: Eukaryota; Metazoa; Arthropoda; Insecta; Diptera; Culicidae
Exons: 5
Source: RefSeq, a predicted model, not a curated record
GAAGCUGACAAAAAUAAGUCACUAAAUACAUUGCCCCCCAGAAAGUGGCUCCGUAAAAAUUCUUCGGCUGCAGGUAAGAAGAUUGGCAGAAUUGGCAGCGGUUCUCGGCAGUUAGUCACCUGAUGACGUUGAGUAACGAACGCGAAAUUGGACCGGAUUCAAACGACUUGCAGUUGGCGGAGGAGCGUUUCCGAUAACGCGUCUGCAAAAAGGAACUCCCGACUUGAAGGUUCUAGUGGAAGACACUACGGUUUCAUGCUCUACAAAUUGCAUACGGACGAAAUUACUCCACCUUCGGUGCUAGAUGCAUUCACUGAAUCAGUCCCGAGACCGGAUUGCUGCUCUCGGUGAUGGUGUUUUCAUUCAAAUGCUCAGAUUGACGGUUGGAAUUAUUAUAAUCCAGUUCUGCAUAAAUUUGGACCCAAGCCGUAGAACGGUUUUAAAAUUUGAAAAUCCAUGUAUGUACUAAAUCAGAAACUUAUUCGAUCGGUGCAUGACGGGUUUUCCGGUUACGAAACCGUGUGAUGGACUGGCGUUGGCAUCCGCCAUAGAAUCAUGAAAUUUUGUCUUCGCGAUCUAAAUCAGACGUAAAAUGUAUACUGUUCCCUGGUAUUACAUUUACAUUCUGGAAGCUACUGAUAUUAACGAAAAUUGAGCCGGACGAGCAAGAAAUCUGAACCUGUUAGCUGCAGUGAACUGCAAUACAAUUUGGCCCUAUCGGAAACCACUUCAAAAAUCAUGUUGUUCGGAUUUACCGCCACGCCAACAAAUUUUUCUUCUUCCGGAAGGAGAACGACUUUGAUUGCCCUGCAAGACCGCCGUAUUCAAGAACAAGUUAAAUUACAUCGAGGAAUACAACUUAUUUAUAACAUAUUCUCGUGUGCAACCCAAUGUUAUCUAA